CCUACGGGAGGCAGCAGUGGGGAAUAUUGCACAAUGGGCGAAAGCCUGAUGCAGCGACGCCGCGUGAGGGAUGACGGCCUUCGGGUUGUAAACCUCUUUCAGCAGGGACGCGGUACCUGCAGAAGAAGCACCGGCUAACUACGUGCCAGCAGCCGCGGUAAUACGUAGGGUGCAAGCGUUGUCCGGAAUUACUGGGCGUAAAGAGUUCGUAGGCGGUUUGUCGCGUCGUUUGUGAAAACCAGCAGCUCAACUGCUGGCUUGCAGGCGAUACGGGCAGACUUGAGUACGGCAGGGGAGACUGGAAUUCCUGGUGUAGCGGUGAAAUGCGCAGAUAUCAGGAGGAACACCGGUGGCGAAGGCGGGUCUCUGGGCAGUACUGACGCUGAGGAACGAAAGCGUGGGGAGCGAACAGGAUUAGAUACCCUUGUAGUC
Molecule: ribosomal RNA, 432 nt
Filed under: uncultured bacterium
Lineage: Bacteria
Description: partial 16S ribosomal RNA
Rfam family: Bacterial small subunit ribosomal RNA
Source: RNAcentral